GAGUUUGAUCGUGGCUCAGAUUGAACGCUGGCGGCAUGCCUUACACAUGCAAGUCGAACGGCAGCACGGGAGCUUGCUCCUGGUGGCGAGUGGCGAACGGGUGAGUAAUGCAUCGGAACGUAUCCUGGAGUGGGGGAUAACGUAGCGAAAGUUACGCUAAUACCGCAUAUUCUGUGAGCAGGAAAGCGGGGGACCUUCGGGCCUCGCGCUCUUGGAGCGGCCGAUGUCGGAUUAGCUAGUUGGUGAGGUAAAGGCUCACCAAGGCGACGAUCCGUAGCAGGUCUGAGAGGAUGAUCUGCCACACUGGAACUGAGACACGGUCCAGACUCCUACGGGAGGCAGCAGUGGGAAUUUUGGACAAGUGGGGGCAACCCUGAUCCAGCCAUGCCGCGUGAGU
This 397-nucleotide ribosomal RNA is filed under the name bacterium enrichment culture clone ALO1_GLFRUDD03HJ4AC. Its description in RNAcentral is "bacterial SSU rRNA". It matches the Rfam family "Bacterial small subunit ribosomal RNA", at positions 9 to 406 of the family's 1533-position model. The record is from RNAcentral.